RNAcentral lists this ribosomal RNA (403 nucleotides) under bacterium. RNAcentral's name for it is "partial 16S ribosomal RNA". It matches the Rfam family "Bacterial small subunit ribosomal RNA", at positions 355 to 776 of the family's 1533-position model. The record is from RNAcentral.
UGGGGAAUAUUGCACAAUGGGGGAAACCCUGAUGCAGCGACGCCGCGUGAACGAAGAAGGUAUUCGUAUCGUAAAGUUCUGUCCUAUGGGCAGAUAAUGACAGUACCAUAGAAGAAAGCUCCGGCUAAAUACGUGCCAGCAGCCGCGGUAAUACGUAUGGAGCGAGCGUUGUCCGGAAUUAUUGGGCGUAAAGGGUACGCAGGCGGUUUAAUAAGUCGAAUGUUAAAGAUCGGGGCUCAACCCCGUAAAGCAUUGGAAACUGAUAAACUUGAGUAGUGGAGAGGAAAGUGGAAUUCCUAGUGUAGUGGUGAAAUACGUAGAUAUUAGGAGGAAUACCAGUAGCGAAGGCGACUUUCUGGACACAAACUGACGCUGAGGUACGAAAGCGUGGGGAGCAAACAGG